Molecule: ribosomal RNA, 253 nt
Filed under: uncultured bacterium
Lineage: Bacteria
Description: partial 16S ribosomal RNA
Rfam family: Bacterial small subunit ribosomal RNA
Source: RNAcentral
AACGUAGGAGACAAACGUUAUCCGGAUUUACUGGGCGUAAAGGGCGUGUAGGUGGUUGCGUAAGUCUGGCGUGAAAUAUCUCGGCUUAACCGAGGCAGGUCGUCGGAUACUGCGUAACUGGAGGACGGUAGAGGCGUGUGGAAUUCCGGGUGUAGUGGUGAAAUGCGUAGAGAUCCGGAGGAACACCAGUGGCGAAGGCGACACGCUGGGCCGUACCUGACACUGAUGCGCGACAGCAUGGGGAGCAAACAGG